This 624-nucleotide ribosomal RNA is filed under the name uncultured bacterium. RNAcentral describes it as "bacterial SSU rRNA". It matches the Rfam family "Bacterial small subunit ribosomal RNA", at positions 217 to 839 of the family's 1533-position model. The record is from RNAcentral.
GGUAAAGGAUGGGGAUGCGUCCGAUUAGCUGUUGGCGGGGUAACGGCCCACCAAGGCAUCGAUCGGUAGGGGUUCUGAGAGGAAGGUCCCCCACACUGGGACUGAGACACGGUCCAGACUCCUACGGGAGGCAGCAGUGAGGAAUAUUGGUCAAUGGCCGUAAGGCUGAACCAGCCAAGUAGCGUGAGGGAAGACUGCCCUAUGGGUUGUAAACCUCUUUUAUGCGGGGAUAAAGGUGUCCACGUGUGGAUGUUUGCAGGUACCGCAUGAAUAAGGACCGGCUAAUUCCGUGCCAGCAGCCGCGGUAAUACGGAAGGUCCGGGCGUUAUCCGGAUUUAUUGGGUUUAAAGGGAGCGUAGGCCGGUCUUUAAGCGUGCCGUGAAAUUUUGUGGCUCAACCAUGAGAGUGCGGCGCGAACUGGAGACCUUGAGUGCGCGGAAGGCAGGCGGAAUUCGUGGUGUAGCGGUGAAAUGCUUAGAUAUCACGAAGAACCCCGAUUGCGAAGGCAGCCUGCCGCAGCGUUACUGACGCUGAAGCUCGAAAGCGCGGGUAUCGAACAGGAUUAGAUACCCUGGUAGUCCGCGCGGUAAACGAUGGAUGCCCGCUGUCGGCGAUAUACAGUCG